Long non-coding RNA from Pipra filicauda (Wire-tailed manakin), 540 nucleotides. RefSeq lists it as uncharacterized. Lineage: Eukaryota; Metazoa; Chordata; Aves; Passeriformes; Pipridae. The transcript has 2 exons. The record is from RefSeq and is a predicted model, not a curated record.
CCCCAUCCCUCCCCAAACCCACAAAUGUAUUCAUGAAUUCAUUUCCGAAAGUUCUCCCUGUGCUCAAGCGGGUGCUGCUUGUAAUUGCUGGCGGCCAAAAUCUGUUCUGUUUUUUCUGGCUGAGGUACCAGGCAAUCAUCAGCUGUAAUUAUUUCGAGUCUUGUUACAGAUGGAUCUCGGAGCUUUCAGUCUUAAACAGAAUUCAUUAUUCAAAUGCCAGCUCCAGCCUUCUGUGGAGGGGUGGGCACGGGCGCUGCCGGCCCCCCACGGGCACCACCAGCCCCAAAUGCUCGUGGGGAAGCUCUGCCUGUUUCCAAGCUCGCUUUGGACACGUGACAGCACGAGAGAGGAGCCCCAGGGACUCAGGAGUGACUCCAAGCACCUGGGCAAGACAUCACUGACCAAAUCACAGAAUCACUGAGGCUGGAAAAGACCUCCAAGACCAUCAAGUCUGACCUUUGACCCAUCACCACCCUGUCAACUAGACCAGAGCUCUGAGAGCCACCUCCAGUCAUUAAAUGGCAGAAGUGGAAUUGAAAA